GAUGAACGCUAGCUACAGGCUUAACACAUGCAAGUCGAGGGGAAACGACAUCGAAAGCUUGCUUUUGAUGGGCGUCGACCGGCGCACGGGUGAGUAACGCGUAUCCAACCUGCCCACCACUUGGGGGAUAACCUUGCGAAAGUAAGACUAAUACCCGAUGAUAUCUCUAGACGACAUCUGAAAGGGAUUAAAGAUUUAUCGGUGAUGGAUGGGGAUGCGUCUGAUUAGCUUGUUGGCGGGGUAACGGCCCACCAAGGCAACGAUCAGUAGGGGUUCUGAGAGGAAGGUCCCCCANAUUGGAACUGAGACACGGUCCAAAACUCCUAGGGAGGCAGCAGUGAGGAAUAUU
This 349-nucleotide ribosomal RNA is filed under the name uncultured bacterium. Its description in RNAcentral is "bacterial SSU rRNA". It matches the Rfam family "Bacterial small subunit ribosomal RNA", at positions 28 to 365 of the family's 1533-position model. The record is from RNAcentral.